UGAAUAUUUCUCUUAAAUGUGCCACAAAUGUCUUUUAACAAUGUUUUGUAGUAACCGAGAGAAGUGUCAUCACAGAAGUUCCUCAGACAGCUGUGAACACUGAGCAGUGCUUGGGGUCAGACAGUAGACUUCAUCUUUAUUAUACUUCUCUGACUGGACUAGCAAGGAGCAGUUAGAGUCCAUGAGAAAAAGUCAAAAGAAGGUACUUUGAAGAAUUCUGGUAAUCAAAACCAACAGGUGCAGAAAUGAAAGCUCCCAA
This is a long non-coding RNA of Sinocyclocheilus anshuiensis, 259 nucleotides long. RefSeq lists it as uncharacterized. The transcript has 3 exons. The record is from RefSeq and is a predicted model, not a curated record. NCBI's taxonomy places the organism in Eukaryota, Metazoa, Chordata, Actinopteri, Cypriniformes, Cyprinidae.